AAGGCUUUAUGUUAAUUAAACAAAUAGCCUUCAAAGCUAUCAAUAGAAGUCUUCUCUUCUAAGCCUUA
This 68-nucleotide transfer RNA is filed under the name Cinygmina sp. 07BF86. RNAcentral's name for it is "tRNA-Trp". Lineage: Eukaryota; Metazoa; Arthropoda; Insecta; Ephemeroptera; Heptageniidae. The record is from RNAcentral.